RNAcentral lists this small RNA (1937 nucleotides) under Pongo abelii (Sumatran orangutan). Its description in RNAcentral is "processed transcript". Lineage: Eukaryota; Metazoa; Chordata; Mammalia; Primates; Hominidae. The record is from RNAcentral.
GAAAAAAUGCCAUAUAACAGAUUGGGAGAAGUUACCUGAUUGUUUACCCUCUGAAACCUUAAGGGGUUAACCACUGUCUCACUCCAUUCCUGCUGCUAUAACAAAAUACCACAAACUGGGUAUUUACUAUAAAGAAGAGAAAUUUAUUUCUUACUUAUCUGGACUUUGGGAAUCCAGGAUCAAACCUGUGGCAUUCAGUGGCUGGUAAAGAAACUGCGGCAAUGAAAGCUGAUCUCCUGAGGGCCAGGAACAUGAAGAGGUACAUCAACCAACUGACUGUGGCAAAGAAGCAGUGUGAGAAGAGAAUCCGAAUCCUGGGAGGCCCUGCCUAUGACCAGCAAGAGGAUGGGGCCCUGGAUGAGGGGGAAGGGCCUCAAAGCCAGAAGAUUCUUCAGUUUGAAGAUAUCUUGGCCAAUACUUUCUACCGAGAGCACUUUGGAAUGUACAUGGAAAGGAUGGACAAGAGAGCUCUGAUUAGUUUUUGGGAAUCUGUGGAACAUUUAAAGAAUGCUAACAAGAAUGAAAUUCCACAAUUAGUUGGUGAAAUUUAUCAGAAUUUCUUUGUGGAGAGCAAAGAAAUAUCUGUGGAAAAAUCACUUUACAAAGAAAUUCAGCAGUGUCUUGUAGGAAAUAAAGGUAUUGAAGUAUUCUACAAAAUCCAGGGAGAUGUUUAUGAGACCCUAAAGGAUAGGUAUUACCCUUCAUUUAUUGUCAGUGACCUGUAUGAGAAACUGUUGAUAAAAGAGGAAGAAAAACAUGCCUCACAGAUGAUUUCCAACAAGGAUGAGAUGGGCCCAAGAGAUGAGGCUGGUGAGGAAGCUGUGGAUGACGGUACCAAUCGGAUCAAUGAACAAGCCAGUUUUGCUGUAAACAAACUGCGAGAACUAAAUGAGAAACUUGAAUAUAAAAGGCAAGCUCUAAAUUCUAUUCAAAAUGCACCAAAACCUGACAAGAAGAUUGUUUCCAAGUUGAAGGAUGAAAUAAUCCUAAUAGAGAAAGAACGCACAGACCUUCAGCUGCACAUGGCAAGAACGGAUUGGUGGUGUGAAAACCUUGGCAUGUGGAAAGCCUCCAUCACCAGUGGAGAGGUUACAGAAGAGAAUGGUGAGCAAUUGCCAUGUUACUUUGUCAUGGUAAGCCUACAAGAAGUUGGAGGAGUUGAAACUAAGAACUGGACGGUCCCCAGAAGGCUUAGCGAGUUUCAGAAUUUACACCGGAAACUCAGUGAGUGCGUCCCUUCUUUAAAAAAAGUCCAGUUGCCUUCUCUUAGCAAGCUGCCUUUCAAAUCUAUAGAUCAAAAGUUUAUGGAAAAGUCGAAGAAUCAAUUAAAUAAAUUUUUACAGGAGGAGACAGAGGAGGACAGUGACCUGUCAGAUUAUGGUGAUGAUGUGGAUGGGAGGAAAGACGCCUUGGCUGAACCAUGUUUCAUGUUGAUUGGGGAGAUUUUUGAACUUCGAGGAAUGUUUAAAUGGGUGAGAAGAACAUUAAUUGCCCUCGUUCAGGUCACUUUUGGAAGAACCAUCAACAAACAAAUCCGGGACACAGUCAACUGGAUUUUCAGUGAGCAAAUGUUGAUUUACUACAUCAAUAUUUUCCGGGAUGCUUUUUGGCCAAAUGGGAAGUUGGCACCACCGACCACAAUCAGGAGCGAAGAGCAAAGUCAGGAAACAAAACACAGAGCACAGCAAAAGCUGCUUGAAAACAUUCCAGAUAUGCUUCAGAGCCUUGUUGGACAGCAAAAUGCCCGCCAUGGUAUAAUAAAAAUAUUCAAUGCACUGCAAGAAACAAGAGCCAACAAGCAUCUGUUAUAUGUGCUGAUGGAACUGCUGCUAAUUGAACUGUGUCCUGAGCUGAGAAUUCAUUUAGAUCAACUUAAAGCUGGCCAAGUUUGAGACUGUACAAAUAAACCACCAGAAAAAUGUCUGUGUAAUAAUAGA